This is a long non-coding RNA of Oncorhynchus keta (chum salmon), 1100 nucleotides long. RefSeq lists it as uncharacterized. The record is from RefSeq and is a predicted model, not a curated record. Lineage: Eukaryota; Metazoa; Chordata; Actinopteri; Salmoniformes; Salmonidae. The transcript is spliced from 4 exons.
AGAACACAGCCUAGUUGUUGCUAGCAGAGCCCAUCCAAUCUAAAACACCGACGUCACACUUUGUGACGUAAAACAAGAGUUUCUAUUUGACAACUUCAGGCAGGCCCCUCCCCGUUCCAUAUGCUUCCAGUCCCCCCGGGUCAGUACCGGUCCAGUCCCCCGGGGUCAGUACCGGUCCAGUCAGUACCGGUCCAGUCAGUACCGGUCCAGUCCCCCAGGGUCAGUACCGGUCCAGUCAGUACCGGUCCAGUCAGUACCGGUCCAGUCCCCCAGGGUCAGUACCGGUCCAGUCAGUAACGGUCCAGUCCCCCCGGGUCAGUACCGGUCCAGUCAGUACCGGUCCAGUCAGUAACGGUCCAGUCCCCCGGGUCAGUACCUGUCCAGUCAGUACCGGUCCAGUCCCCCAGGGUCAGUACCGGUCCAGUCAGUAACGGUCCAGUCAGUAACGGUCCAGUCCCCCGGGUCAGUACCUGUCCAGUCAGUACCGGUCCAGUCCCCCGGUCAGUACCGGUCCAGUCAGUAACGGUCCAGUCCCCCCGGGUCAGUACCUGUCCAGUCAGUAACGGUCCAGUCCCCCAGGGUCAGUACCUGUCCAGUCAGUAACGGUCCAGUCCCCCAGGGUCAGUACCGGUCCAGUCAGUACCGGUCCAGUCAGUAACGGUCCAGUCAGUACCGGUCCAGUCCCCCAGGGUCAGUACCGGUCCAGUCAGUAACGGUCCAGUCCCCCAGGGUCAGUACCGGUCCAGUCCCCCGGGGUCAGUACCGGUCCAGUCAGUAACGGUCCAGUCCCCCAGGGUCAGUACCGGUCCAGUCAGUACCGGCCCAGUCCCCCGGGGUCAGUACCGGUCCAGUCAGUACCGGCCCAGUCCCCCAGGGUCAGUACUGGCCCAGUCCCCCAGGGUCAGUACCGGUCCAGUCAGUACCGGCCCAGUCCCCCAGGGUCAGUACUGGCCCAGUCCCCCCGGGUCAGUACCGGUCCAGUCAGUACCGGCCCAGUCCCCCCGGGUCAGUACCGGUCCAGUCAGUACCGGCCCAGUCCCCCCGGGUCAGUACCGGUCCAGUCAGUACCGGCCCAGUCCCUCCGGGUCAAUAACGGUCCA